Molecule: long non-coding RNA, 674 nt
Organism: Micropterus dolomieu (smallmouth bass)
Lineage: Eukaryota; Metazoa; Chordata; Actinopteri; Centrarchiformes; Centrarchidae
Exons: 5
Source: RefSeq, a predicted model, not a curated record
AGCACUCACUCAGAAAGACUGUAAAUCAUGACAACUGUGGCCAGACUCCAGCCAAACAGGAGUACCACCAGGAAAAAGAAGGUGGAGGUGGUGGAGCGAAACGUCUUCAUUGCUGGCCGACAAUUAUAUAAGAGUGUGAUCUGAGGAGGAAAAUGGCAAUGGAGACAUGAAACAGGGGCCAAAACCAUAGCAGAGAGUUGAGUGAUUUGUACCUGCGCGGAAACUCCACCAGGACAAGCACAGCUAUGUUGAUGAGGAGGUCAAACAGUGUCAGUUUGUACAUCUCCUGUCCUAUACGUGUUUCCCAGCACUACAUGACAAGACAAACAAUGACAAGGGUGAAGAGGAGAACACCCAGACUCACCAGGCGAAGGAACACUGCCCUAUACAUGGAAGAGAAAUGACGAGCUCUCAUAUCUUUGCAGGUCAUUACAAUGCUGCAGUUUCUCACCGUCCCCGAAAAUCUGAAGACGAUGCUGGGGAUGAGGACAAAUCCAGCAAUCAGUAAAAAGGAAACAAAAUUGAGCACCACCAAGAAUCGCAGGAACAGGAAGUAAGACUGGACGCCACCUCCGAAGUUCCCUGUGGGAGCAAAGGGCCGUGAUUUCAUUAAAAAUGCAAAGAUGGUUUCAAUCCACAUGUGUAAAAUGAAUUAAAACUUUUCUUUGACCGUA